GACAGAGGGGGCAAGCGUUGCUCGGAAUUACUGGGCGUAAAGGGCGCGUAGGCGGAAUGGCAAGUCGGGCGUGAAAUCCUUCGGCUCAACCGAAGAACGUCGAUCGAAACUGCCGUUCUUGAGGAUUGCAGAGGAGACUGGAAUUCCCGGUGUAGCGGUGAAAUGUGUAGAGAUCGGGAGGAACACCGGUGGCGAAGGCGGGUCUCUGGGCAAUUCCUGACGCUGAGGCGCGAAAGCGUGGGGAGCAAACGGG
This 253-nucleotide ribosomal RNA is filed under the name uncultured bacterium. RNAcentral describes it as "partial 16S ribosomal RNA". It matches the Rfam family "Bacterial small subunit ribosomal RNA", at positions 524 to 776 of the family's 1533-position model. The record is from RNAcentral.